AGGGUUUAUGUUGCUGAAUCUCUUAUUUCCAGUGCUGGAGAAGGACUUUUUUCAAAGGUAGCUGUGGGACCUAAUACUGUUAUGUCUUUUUAUAAUGGAGUUCGAAUUACACACCAAGAGGUUGACAGCAGGGACUGGGCCCUUAAUGGGAACACCCUCUCCCUUGAUGAAGAAACGGUCAUUGAUGUGCCUGAGCCCUAUAACCACGUAUCCAAGUACUGUGCCUCCUUGGGACACAAGGCAAAUCACUCCUUCACUCCAAACUGCAUCUACGAUAUUGGCCAGAAGAAUCACCUGGGAAUGUGUAAAAGAAGCAGAUUUGGGGCUCCACUCCCAAAGAUCCCACAUCUGGAUCAAGCGCCCUGGGUAGAACACAGAAAAGCUGGCAUUCCUCUUUACAGUGCAGCCCAAGGGCUAAUGCUCAUAAUGAUGUUCGUGAGUAAUUAAGAAAAGAUAAAAGCGAAUGGAAUGUACUCUGCCUAAUGAUAAUGGCAAUUGUCAGAACAUAGGCUUCCCUCAAGAACUCAAAAUCGCACUCUGGGAGCCAUUUUAAGAUCUGAAAAGAGAUACCUAAUAAGUUGUGCCAGAGAAAUCAAUAAGUAAAGUCACCAGAGGGGGGAAAAAGACCCUCAAACCAGCAGGACUUGAUUAGAUAAAAUAUCUUUUAAAACAAUCAGGAUAUUUGGAAUUUUCUUCAGGCUAAUAUGGGAG
Molecule: small RNA, 711 nt
Filed under: Pan troglodytes (chimpanzee)
Lineage: Eukaryota; Metazoa; Chordata; Mammalia; Primates; Hominidae
Description: retained intron
Source: RNAcentral